RNAcentral lists this long non-coding RNA (1542 nucleotides) under Salmo salar (Atlantic salmon). RNAcentral's name for it is "lncRNA (ENSSSAG00000085144.1)". Lineage: Eukaryota; Metazoa; Chordata; Actinopteri; Salmoniformes; Salmonidae. The record is from RNAcentral.
CUGCUUCAUAUGAAACACCUACGACGACAUCGACAUGUUUCAGUCCUGCUUCAUAUGAAACACCUACGACGACGUCGACAUGUUUCAGUCCUGCUUCAAUACAUUUUGGAUGGAUGGCCUUUGGACAACAGUUGCCAGUGGUAGUAUGAUAGUGAUAUUUGGGUAGCGAUGGCAGAACAUAUCAUGGUCAGUUGAAAAUAUUCAUCGUGAAAUAAAAAAUAAGAAGAAGAUAUCUCUUACCUGCUAUAACCUGUUGAGUUGCUUGGGUGAAUACAGGCUGCUUGGUAGUGAUGAUCUCAGGCCACUGGUCAACAUCAUCAGUAACAAUGGGAAUGUCCCGAGGUUGCUCCUCAGGUUCUGACUCUAUCUUCUUGGGUCCCUUGACCCCUCUUUUACCAUCCUGUCUGCCCAGCUCCCGGUCACCUUCCUGGGCCUUGAACAAGGCGCUGUAGGGCAGGUCCUGGAGAAGUAGCUCCACAUUGAUGGUUGGAGCCCGGCACGGGGCAUUGGCAGGCUGCUGUAAGCCCAGUGGAGGUGCUUUCCCCUGGGGCUGGAGGGCUGGGAAGUCAGCCAUCAGGUCAUAAAGCUCCUGUUGGGUUGUUGAUGGAGAUGAAGCUAGGGCCUUGGUUGGGUCUGUAAUCCUGAUGGCUGGGACCUUGGCUGGGGCUGGAGUUGAAGAACGGGCUGUGGCUGUGACCUGGAUGACUGGGACCUUGGCUGGAGUUGGGACUGGGACAGGAGUUGAGGCUGGACCUGAAGCUGAGGCCUUGAUACAGGCAGGUACUUUGCCCAGAAGGUUGAAGGGGCCAGGGAUGGGGAUGAGAGGCUUGGGGAGGUUGGCAGGCGGAGAGCCCUGCCACAGCCUGUCACCUUGCCAUGGAGACGCGGCGUUCGGCAGAGGGGGAAAGUCGUCUUCGCUGGGGGCCAGGUUGGGGGCCAGGUUGGGGAGCAGGUUGGGGGCCAGGUUGGGGAGCAGGGAUGAGAGAUCAGGGAGCAAGUCAGGAACUAAAUGGGAGAGGUUAGCACCGAGGUCAGGGUUCAGCAGGAUGGAGUCCAACAGGUAAGGGUUAGGAAUAUGGAGAGGUUCCACCAUGAUGGAACUGUCCUCCCCUCUACCCUCCUGCCCUGGGAUCAGGAGGCCCCUGAGGUACUUGGCAAUGUCCCUCCUUUGCUCCUCCUCUGGGUUCACCUAGUAUUGGUAAAAUAGAAUAACAUGGUUUACCCUUUCAGAUUGCUUUUUUGUUGUUGUCCAGCACUAGGCUUAAAUGGGUCCAGGAAACCACCCCUUUAGUGGCCUAUCUGAUGAUCAAACCCAUUAUCUCUGGUGUAGUAAAAUUCUAACCUUUUCCUCCUCCUUCUUCUUCUCCACCUGUGUCUCCCAUAUGGGGUCAUCGCCAUGGGAACAGUCGUCACACCGGACAUCGUCAGGGCGCUGAGAGGAGACGGAGAGGUCAUGUCGAUCUUUCUCUGUCUGUGACGUCAAAGUCUGGAACUCCCUCUCCACCAUCAGAGAGAUCUCAUCCAGCCUAUUCAGAGAGCGAG